Molecule: ribosomal RNA, 450 nt
Filed under: uncultured bacterium
Lineage: Bacteria
Description: bacterial SSU rRNA
Rfam family: Bacterial small subunit ribosomal RNA
Source: RNAcentral
GUGGGGAAUUUUGGACAAUGGGCGAAAGCCUGAUCCAGCAAUGCCGCGUGUGUGAAGAAGGCCUUCGGGUUGUAAAGCACUUUUGGCAGGGAAGAAACAGUGCGUGCUAAUACCAUGCGCGAAUGACGGUACCUGCAGAAUAAGCACCGGCUAACUACGUGCCAGCAGCCGCGGUAAUACGUAGGGUGCAAGCGUUAAUCGGAAUUACUGGGCGUAAAGCGUGCGCAGGCGGCUUUGUAAGACGGAUGUGAAAGCCCCGGGCUCAACCUGGGAAGUGCAUUCGUGACUGCAAGGGUAGAGUGUGUCAGAGGGAGGUGGAAUUCCGCGUGUAGCAGUGAAAUGCGUAGAGAUGCGGAGGAACACCGAUGGCGAAGGCAGCCUCCUGGGAUAACACUGACGCUCAGGCACGAAAGCGUGGGGAGCAAACAGGAUUAGAAACCCGGGUAGUCC